This 846-nucleotide ribosomal RNA is filed under the name Candidatus Woesearchaeota archaeon. RNAcentral describes it as "bacterial SSU rRNA". It matches the Rfam family "Archaeal small subunit ribosomal RNA", at positions 1 to 850 of the family's 1478-position model. Lineage: Archaea; Nanobdellati; Candidatus Woesearchaeota. The record is from RNAcentral.
UAAUUCCCGUUGAUCCUGCGGGAGAUUGCUGCUAUGGGAGUUCGACUAAGCCAUGCAAGUCAGAGGGCCUUUAUGGCACAGGCUGAAUGCUCAGUAACACGUCAAUAAUUUGCCCUUAGGUUUGGGACAGCCACGGGAAACUGUGGGUAAACCCGAAUAGGUAAUUGAUACUGGAAUGUACUUUUACUCAAAGUUUACGCCUAAGGAUGAGUUGGCGGCUGAUUAGUUUGUUGGUAGUGUAAAGGACUACCAAGACUAUGAUCAGUACGGGCCGUGAGAGCGGUAGCCCGGAGAAGGGUACUGAGACACUGACCCUAGCCCUACGGGGUGCAGCAGGCGCGAAACCUUUACAAUGUACGUAAGUGCGAUAAGGGAACUCCCAGUGCUUAUGCAUAGCAUAGGCUUUUGCCAAGUGUAAAUAACUUGGCGAAUAAGUGGUGGGUAAGACGGGUGCCAGCCGCCGCGGUAACACCUGCGCCACGAGUGGCGAUCAGUUUUAUUGGGCCUAAAGCGUUCGUAGCCGGAUUAGUUAGUCUUGGGUGAAAUCGUUGCGCUUAACAAAACGACGUGCUUGAGAUACUGCUAGUCUAGAGACCGGGAGGCGUGAAGAGUAUUCCUGAGGGAGCGGUAAAAUGCUAUAAUCUCAGGAGGACUACCUGUGGCGAAGGCGCUUCACGAGAACGGGUCUGACGGUGAGGAACGAAAGCUAGGGGAGCAAACCGGAUUAGAUACCCGAGUAGUCCUAGCCGUAAACGCUGUGUACUAGAUGUUGCGUAUUCUUCGUGGAUACGCAGUGUCGGAGCGAAGGCAUUAAGUACACCGCCUGGGAAGUACGGUCGCAAGGCU